RNAcentral lists this unclassified non-coding RNA (253 nucleotides) under uncultured Verrucomicrobiota bacterium. RNAcentral describes it as "uncultured Verrucomicrobia bacterium contains 16S-23S intergenic spacer region". It matches the Rfam family "Bacterial small subunit ribosomal RNA", at positions 524 to 776 of the family's 1533-position model. The record is from RNAcentral. Lineage: Bacteria; Pseudomonadati; Verrucomicrobiota.
UACAGAGACUGCAAGCGUUAUUCGGAUUCACUGGGCGUAAAGGGUGCGCAGGCGGUCGUGUGUGUCAGGUGUGAAAGCCCGAGGCUCAACCUCGGAAUUGCGCCUGAAACUACACGACUAGAGUAUUGGAGAGGGUAACGGAAUUCACGGUGUAGCAGUGAAAUGCGUAGAUAUCGUGAGGAACACCAGAGGCGAAGGCGGUUACCUGGACAAUUACUGACGCUCAGGCACGAAAGCGUGGGGAGCAAAAGGG